GGUGGAGCGGUACAGGCCUUGACCCCAAAGGCGAGGCCUUUCUGCGACUGCCAGGUUGGGGAGCUCCGAGAAUGUGCCAACAGACGGCAGAAUACGUGGUUCCCUGCUCCACAAAAAACAAGUAUACUUGACAGCUAAGGACAGCCAUUAGAAAGAAGAGGUACUAGAAGCUAUACAAGUUUGUACUGAGGAUACAAGCCACUUACUGGAACUUAACCUCUCUGGGAGCCUUAUAAAAUGAGUGCAAACAAUAUAUCAUGCAUGCUAAGUCACUUCAGUCAUGUCCAACUCUUUGCAACCCUAUGGACUAUAGCCCUCCAAGCUCCCCUAUACACAGGAUUCUCCAGGUUGUCCCAGUGCAGCGGCUUUGAGUGCCCUGUUUCAUGCAUCGAACUUGGACCGGUCAUCCACUUCACAUGUGGUAAUAUACAUGAUUCAAUGCUAUUCUCUCAAAUCAUCCCACCCUCUCCUUCUCCCACAGAGUCCAAAUGUCUGUUCUUUAUAUCUGUGUCUCUUUUGCUGUCUCGCAUACAGGGUCACC
Molecule: long non-coding RNA, 541 nt
Organism: Bos taurus (domestic cattle)
Lineage: Eukaryota; Metazoa; Chordata; Mammalia; Artiodactyla; Bovidae
Source: Ensembl